UUCAAAAAUACAUUCAAGGACUGGGGAAGUAGAUGAGAAGGCAGACUCCUUGCUUCUCUAAUGUGUUGCAAGGCUAAGUUUGACCCAUAGCAGCACACACACAUUCACAUACAAUUCAGCAACUAUUUGCUUAGACAGAAUAGACAAAUAUUAUAUAAUCCCCUGUUAGUGUAUUCCAUAAACGAAUUGAACAAAAUUUGUCUAGUAGAGGAGACAUUGCAUAAAUACAAUAUUUUUGUUGUGUUUUAUCGCAAACGGUUUUAUUUACCCGGUAAGUGCAGGAUCAAGGGAUGGAGAAGAUAUCAUGGAAGCAGAAGAGGAGUCCUAAUUGACUGGAGAGGCUUCAUGUACUGUUGUCUAAUCUUUUUUGUUGGUUGAGAAGGGUCUUGCUCUGUAGCUUUUGGCUGGCCUGGAACUCAUGAUGUAGACCAAGUUGACCUUGAAGGCAGAAAGACCUGCCUGUCUCUGCUUCCCAAAUGCUUCAGUGAAAGGUCAGUGAAGUUGCAAGACUCACAAGCGUUGCACAGCCAGCUGUACCAGCAAGCCAAGCCCUGUUUCUGUCACUCCAUGGAGUCCUGUUUAUACCCUCUGUGGUGGCUAUUCCUGGUUGUC
Molecule: long non-coding RNA, 612 nt
Organism: Mus musculus (house mouse)
Lineage: Eukaryota; Metazoa; Chordata; Mammalia; Rodentia; Muridae
Product: predicted gene, 40044
Exons: 3
Source: RefSeq, a predicted model, not a curated record